GGGAUGAACGCUGGCGGCGUGCUUAACACAUGCAAGUCGAACGAUGAAGGCUGGAGCUUGCUCUGGCUGGAUUAGUGGCGAACGGGUGAGUAACACGUGAGUAACCUGCCCCAGACUCUGGGAUAAGCGCUGGAAACGGCGUCUAAGUACCGGAUACGAGCUUCCACCGCAUGGUGAGGAGCUAGGAAAGAAUUUCGGUCUGGGAUGGACUCGCGGCCUAUCAGCUUGUUGGUGAGGUAAUGGCUCACCAAGGCGACGACGGUAGCCGGCCGUGAGGAGGGUCGACCGGCCACGACGUGGACUGAGACACCGGCCAGCUCCGACGGGAGCAGCUAGGUGGGAAUAGUGACACGAAGUCGGGCGACG
This 366-nucleotide ribosomal RNA is filed under the name uncultured soil bacterium. RNAcentral's name for it is "bacterial SSU rRNA". It matches the Rfam family "Bacterial small subunit ribosomal RNA", at positions 27 to 396 of the family's 1533-position model. The record is from RNAcentral.